UGUCUUGUAGUAUAUAUUUUAUUACCGUAAACUGCAACUUUACUAAAACUUUUAGUCAAGACAU
This 64-nucleotide transfer RNA is filed under the name Prolasmidonta heterodon. RNAcentral's name for it is "tRNA-Cys". Lineage: Eukaryota; Metazoa; Mollusca; Bivalvia; Unionida; Unionidae. The record is from RNAcentral.